UGCCUACGGGAGGCAGCAGUGGGGGAUAUUGCACAAUGGGGGGAACCCUGAUGCAGCGACGCCGCGUGGGUGAAGAAGCGCCUUGGCGCGUAAAGCCCUGUCAGCAGGGAAGAAAAUGACGGUACCUGAAGAAGAAGCCCCGGCUAACUACGUGCCAGCAGCCGCGGUAAUACGUAGGGGGCAAGCGUUAUCCGGAUUCACUGGGUGUAAAGGGAGCGUAGACGGCCGUGCAAGCCAGGAGUGAAAGCCCGGGGCCCAACCCCGGGACUGCUCUUGGAACUGUGCGGCUAGAGUGCGGGAGGGGG
This 305-nucleotide ribosomal RNA is filed under the name uncultured bacterium. RNAcentral describes it as "bacterial SSU rRNA". It matches the Rfam family "Bacterial small subunit ribosomal RNA", at positions 335 to 658 of the family's 1533-position model. The record is from RNAcentral.